UACGAAGGGGGCUAGCGUUGCUCGGAAUUACUGGGCGUAAAGCGCACGUAGGCGGUCUUUUUAAGUCGGGGGUGAAAUCCUGGAGCUCAACUCCAGAACUGCCUUCGAUACUGGAAGACUUGAGUCCGGGAGAGGUGAGUGGAACUGCGAGUGUAGAGGUGAAAUUCGUAGAUAUCAAGCGGAACACCGGUGGCGAAGGCGGCCUUCUGGGACGAUGACUGACGCUGAGACGCGAAAGCGUGGGGAGCAAACAGG
RNAcentral lists this ribosomal RNA (255 nucleotides) under uncultured bacterium. Its description in RNAcentral is "partial 16S ribosomal RNA". It matches the Rfam family "Bacterial small subunit ribosomal RNA", at positions 524 to 776 of the family's 1533-position model. The record is from RNAcentral.